Molecule: transfer RNA, 69 nt
Filed under: Eurydema liturifera
Lineage: Eukaryota; Metazoa; Arthropoda; Insecta; Hemiptera; Pentatomidae
Description: tRNA-Gln
Source: RNAcentral
UAUAUUUAGGUGUUUGAUGCAUUGAGAAUUUUGAUUUCUCAGGUCUUGGUUUAAUUCCAAGAAAUAUAA